CCUUCGGGUUGUAAAGCACUUUUAGUGGGAAAGAAAAGCUCAGAGUUAAUAGUUUGAGCCUUGACGUUACCCACAGAAAAAGCACUGGCUAACUACUGUGC
RNAcentral lists this ribosomal RNA (101 nucleotides) under uncultured bacterium. RNAcentral describes it as "partial 16S ribosomal RNA". The record is from RNAcentral.